GUUACAAUGAGAAAAUCCGUUAGGCACUUUUAUGCAGGUAUGGUAUAAAGUUAAAGAGUAAUAAAACUUAUUAGUUGUACCUUUUGUAUCAGGGGGCUUUUAAAGUAUAUUAAGGGUAAAGUCGAGUUGGUCAGAUUUUUUUAUUAAAGCGGUAGUGGAAUUUAUAGUUAGAAUAUAGUAAGAGGUGAAAAAUGUACGGUGACCAUGGUAGCUAAUUACUUUAAGGUCCGAGAAGUUAAGCUCUCAGUAGUUUAUGCUAAAAAAUUAGUUAGAAAACUUGGCUUUAGGUUAGCUAUGUUAGUAUAUUGUUAUAAGUAAUCCUUACGGAUUAUAGGGCUAUAAAAUUGCAAGGUAGUAGUAAAAAAUAUUAUUUAUUAUUUAGUAUGAAGCUAUUGAAUGGGGGACGAAAUUAAAAAACAACUUUUAGCAGGUAAGAUAGUUUAGCAAAAACAUUUUUUGCAGGGGUUGUAAGUAAAGCCUGCCCAGUGCUAAGUUAACGGCCGCGGUAUUUUGACUGUGCUAAGGUAGCGUAAUCAUUUGCUUUUUAAUUGGUAGCUGGA
This 560-nucleotide ribosomal RNA is filed under the name Gammarus nekkensis. Its description in RNAcentral is "partial large subunit ribosomal RNA". Lineage: Eukaryota; Metazoa; Arthropoda; Malacostraca; Amphipoda; Gammaridae. The record is from RNAcentral.